Budorcas taxicolor (takin) is the source of this 73-nucleotide non-coding RNA. The record is from the annotation of a RefSeq genome assembly. Lineage: Eukaryota; Metazoa; Chordata; Mammalia; Artiodactyla; Bovidae.
UCCCUGGCAGUCCAGUGGUUAGGACUCUGCACUGUCAAUGCCAAGGACCCAGGUUCAGUCCCUGGUCAGGGAA